This 253-nucleotide ribosomal RNA is filed under the name uncultured bacterium. Its description in RNAcentral is "partial 16S ribosomal RNA". It matches the Rfam family "Bacterial small subunit ribosomal RNA", at positions 524 to 776 of the family's 1533-position model. The record is from RNAcentral.
UACGUAGGGGGCAAGCGUUGUCCGGAAUCAUUGGGCGUAAAGCGCGUGUAGGCGGCCCGAUAAGUCCGCUGUGAAAGUCCAGGGCUCAACCCUGGAAUGCCGGUGGAUACUGUCGGGCUCGAGUCCGGAAGAGGCGAGUGGAAUUCCUGGUGUAGCGGUGAAAUGCGCAGAUAUCAGGAGGAACACCUGUGGUGUAGACAGCUUACUGGACCAUAACUGACGCUGAGGCACGAAAGCGUGGGUAGCAAACAGG